RNA transcript from Polypterus senegalus (gray bichir), 5730 nucleotides. It is a transcript of the gene named SIX homeobox 5, with no coding region annotated. NCBI's taxonomy places the organism in Eukaryota, Metazoa, Chordata, Cladistia, Polypteriformes, Polypteridae. The record is from RefSeq and is a predicted model, not a curated record. The transcript has 4 exons.
CACCCACUCACCAUCAUCAGCAUUUAAUGAUGGGAGGGGGUACCCCUUAAAUUUCAGAAAUGGCACGCCUCAGUUGAUGGCGACCACUCAGUAUGACCAGAACUUGGAAACGGGAUGGGGGAGUCCAGCUUAAAUUUCAUAAAUGGAGCCCCUCAGAUGACAACACUCACCCAGUAUCAUCAGUAUUUGAUGAUGGUUGGAGGUACCCCUUAAAUUUCAGAAAUAUCACGCCUCAGAUGAUGGCGACCACUCAGUAUGAUCAGAACUUGGAAACGGGAUGGGGGAGUCCUGCUUAAAUUUCAUAAAUGGUGCCCCUAAGAUGACAGCGCCCACUCAGCAUCAUCAGGGUCUGACAAUGGGGUGGGAGGUCUCCCUUAAAUGUUAUAAAUUGCGCCGCUCAAAUGACGACACCUUAACCUGUCGCCUAACUGACUGACAGGCUUUGCACGGGGAACUUUACAAAACAAACCAACUGCCUUGCACCGUGACUCAAAAUAACAAAAAAAAAAUUAAAAAGUGAAAAAUGACACAUAAUAUGAAAAUGUUGCUCAGUUUAUUCGACACACGUAUGAGAGCAGAGAUCGAGAUUUGUUGAAGAUUCCGAACUCUUACGGUUUCGUAGGAAGCCCCCCCAAAAUAAAACCUUCUUAGGAAGGUCCCUUUCAACACUGGCACCUUGGCGCUUCGGUCACUUUUCAUUGUCUUUUGUUUUUAGGCAGCUACGGAUCGGCGCUGAGAGGCUGAAGUCUCGACUCGAGUCGACUUCUUGACUUCUGUAAAGUUUACUGAGCCGUUUGCUCCUUCGCGGGGCACCCCGCCUGGGAUUAAAAACUUCGUGCGUCUUCCUUCGCCUUUCGACCAGAGCGAAGCUGGCGGUGUUGUCAGAGUUCGGGAAAGGCAGAGGCCGGGCGUGACGUUAGAGUGGCGGCUCCAGCUCAGGCACUCAGGGAGGGGAGGAACUAAAAAAAAAAAAAAAAAAAACUUGGGCUGAAAAUGGCUUCCUUGUCUUUGGAGGCUGGAACCCCGAAAGAGAGUCCGGGCGAAACGAGCUCAGGAGAGCUGGGCAGCCCGAGUCCCAAGGCGUCGGACGAACUGGGUGCCCUGGACGACGCCUCCGAACAGCUGCUGCAGACCCUGCGGGGCUCCGGCCUGAACUUCUCGGCCGAGCAGGUCUCGUGCGUGUGUGAGGCGCUUCUCCAAGCGGGCAAUGUGGAGCGACUCGGCAGAUUCCUGUCCACCAUCCCCGCCGCGCCGGAGCUGCAACGUGGCAACGAGACUUUACUGAAGGCCAAGGCGCUGGUGGCUUUUCACCGAGAGGAGUACAAGGAACUCUAUGCCAUCCUGGAGAGUCACUCUUUCCACCCGUCCAACCAUGCCUUCCUGCAGGACCUCUACUUGCAGUCGCGCUACCGGGAAGCGGAGAGGUCUCGGGGCCGACGACUGGGAGCCGUGGACAAGUACCGACUCCGUAAGAAGUAUCCCCUUCCCAAAACGAUCUGGGACGGCGAGGAGACGGUGUACUGCUUUAAGGAGAAGUCGCGCAAUGCGCUUAAGGAGUGUUACAAAAGCAACAGGUACCCGACCCCGGACGAGAAGCGGAACCUGGCCAGGCUCACCGGGCUCUCCCUGACCCAGGUCAGCAACUGGUUCAAGAACCGAAGGCAGCGGGAUCGGACACCAUCGGGGACUCAUAGUAAAAGUGAGUCUGAUGGCAAUCGUAGCGAGUCGGAUGACUCCACCAGAGGACUUGAAGAUUCCGCUCAUCUGACCCCGGUCAGUCAAGAGGAUCACGGCACUAUAAACAACAAUAUCCUCCUUUCGACAACAAGCACCCCAUGCAGCACGUCCAGCUCUAUGCUUCUAAACGGUAGUUUGAUCAAUGCCAACACGCAGCCGUUUCUCUUCAAUGGGGGAUCUCUAGUGCAGGCCUCUAAUGGCCGGGUGAUCAUCAAUGGGUUGACGUUUAGUGAUGGACAAACUAUUACACUUAGCCCUGUCAGCAGCAAUCCUCCUCUAUUAGUAACUGGCUCAACAGUCAUUGGAAGCAAGCCCCCAACUGGCACUCAGCAGGCCAACAAUAUAGAACAGAAAGACCCUGCUGUUGCGUCCAUUCUGCCAACCAUCAUUGUGAAUACGGGCAGCUCCACAUUGUCUCUUCCAGCAGCUGAAGAUGGGGUUGGAAAGAGUGAAGAUGAUGAACAGUCAAUGCCGACGUCCUUGGGUUUUGGGAACACUUCUAAUCUGGGGGCCUCGAAUGGCAUGGACCUCAAGAUUGAAAGCUUGCAGCCCACUAUGGAGACUUGUCCCACCCCCAGCACAACCUCCUCAGUGGUGUUUAACCAACAAGGGACAACACUGACUAUUCCAGGUGUACCCGGAGAAUUUAGAGUAGAUGAGCAGCAGGCAUUACAUUCGGGGUCCCCUUCCACCCCAACCUUGCAGACAAGCCAGGUGGUCCCACUGCCUUCCCAGCAACAGGCAACAGUGUUAACAUCUUCUGCAAAUCAUCUCGCUUCUGCUCCACAAGUCUUGGCCUUGCCACAGGUUGUGCCUUCGAUCCCAGGAAUCCCCGUGUCCCAAGUCAUCCAAGCCCCGUCGUCGCAGGGAACCACAUGUCCGCAACUUGUGCCAGUCUCCCCAGUUACAACCCAACUUAACCAGACUGCUCCAGCUUUUCAGCUUCCACAGGGAAUUCCUCAGCAACAGGUGGUGACCUCGGCAGCUCUGCCCCAUAUCUCCCAAGUUGGGACCUCACCAGCUCCACCACUGACUGUUCAGCAGGUCAUCCAGACUCCACAGGGGCUGCAGACAGUACAGACUCUAUCCCAGUUGCCCGCGCCUCAGAUCAUCCCCAUCUCUUCCCCAACUCAAGUCGUUCCCCUUUCGCAGCCAGGGCAUGCUUCACCAAAUGUGAACCCUACUGCACAGAUUGUGCCACUGUCUGCUCAGGUGGUUUCACCCUGCCCACCUCCUCUGCCACAAGUGGUACCCAGUUCACAAACAGUACCAGGGACGUUCCAGAUACUCACAAGUGUAAAUAAUGGCAACAACAGUGCUGUCAAGACCAGCCAGCCUAACGCCAUCCAGUUUCCUAGUAGCCCUCCUGUGGCACAAAAUGGCGGAAGCAUGGGCUGCACCACUGCAGGGGUACAACUCAUCAACUCGGGUGGCAUCUUCCAGCUACCUGCAGCUGCUCCAGGAAAUCUUAUCCUGACUAAUCCAGCAGGGGGCAGUACCCUCUUGACCUUUCAGCAAGGCAAACUGAUCCUCACUGCUACCUUCCCUGCCAGCAUGCUCGUCUCCUCAAGUGCCGCCUCGUUGGCUAAUCUGCCACUCAAGACAGAGUCUGAAUACAGCCAGAAUGGUGCUGGUACGGGUAUCGUCCUAACGCCGAUCAUUUCUGUUGGCCCAGGGCAGCAGAAUUGCCCAGUUAAUAACAUAUCCCCCAGUGGCACCUCCCUUCCACCAAUUUCUGCAGUUAUCCCCAUAAGCACCACUACCACCACCUCUUCCUCAGUUUCUGUGCCCCAAGAGGGAACAAUCACAAGUUCUCAACCCUCCUAUCAAACAGACAGCAAUAUCACCUUUAUCAAUCCUGGCGGAUUCUAUCCAAGCACUGCACCCGGGGGUGACAACAACGCUAUGCUUUCUUCAGUUAGUUUGAUGCCCGCCGCUUCUGUGGGUCUCACUUGCUCGGAUGUCAUCGGAGGCCUGAACUCUUCUGUGCCCAUGGGAGGAGUGGGAGCCAAUGCAGGCCAUCUUUCCUCGGCCAAUGUUACCGGCAGUGCAAUGUCAAACCUGGCUCAGGUUGUCUGGAGCCCAGCUCUCAAUCCCACUAGUGCGGUCUCGACUGGAUUGGUGCUGCCAUUGGGGUUAAGGAAAGAGGAUCGACUGCUGCCAGAUGAUGGUGUGGACCACCGGUCUCUACUUGCCUUGCCGGGAGGUGAAUCUCUCCUUUUGGGAACUGCACCUGAGGUCAGGGGGCAGCAGUUAGAGGAAGGGCCAGACAUGGACAGUGACGAUCUGGAAAGCGAUGGCAAGGUGCUCACACAGUUGCAAUCUGUUCCAGUGGAUGAGGACCUGGGAAUGUAGAAAAAGAAAAGGGAUGGAAUGGACACUUUUCUGAUAGUAGAGCCUGCCUGCUGCCCAGUGUGACGUUUGGAAUGGCCACGGCAACACUGACGAAUUGAGGAGCCUUACUUGGGCGCAUAUGAGUGUAAACACUUGGCAUUAAGCGAAAGGUCACAACGGUUUAUGGAUGUCACCUAAGUGUGAUGUGUCCACACAGUACAAACCAACCAGGCCGGCUGUAUUCACCUUUUCAGAGUGUGAUGGAUCUUUCAUUUUAUUUCCCCCCCAGUUAUAAACAGAAGAAGGGCAUCACUCGGGACUCCCUGGAGAGUGUGAGUGCAGGAUCCGUGUGCGAAAUUGGAAACACAAAUUGGGCUUCCUGCAUUUUUGCAAUAGUUAAGGAGCUCUUGACCCCUCUUAGGUGGACCCAUACACAUAAACUACUUGAAGGAUAUGCUGGCAGAAACCUUUUUUUACUUUCAGUCAGCAGAUUUUCUCCAUUAUGGAUGGAAGUUUUACCUUGAGACAUGAGAGGGGCAAAAAAAAAAAGGGAAAAUCUUUUCCACUGGUUCUUUGGUGAUGGUACGAUAUUUGAAACAUUUAAGAUGAAUAGGACUGUGUAGGAUUAGUAGACACUACCUGUACAUAAGGACAACUCUCUAUGCAAGCAAGUGGCAGUUACUGCUUGGGGGUGUGUGGGUGUGUGUGUGUGUGUUCGGAUUUUAUUUUUAUUUUGUAACUCUUUUUAAAUACAGCUGUAUAUUCCUGUAAAUUAGCAAGUGCCUUUUUUUUGCCCCUUUGUCAUGUUGGGGUGCAGCUCUAGGGUGGGUGUCCCAAGUCAGCCAUGACCAGAACUCAUGUAGUUGUCAUCAUUGGGUGCGGAGGGCUUUGUUUUUAUUAGGCAGCAGUCGGUCUUCUGGUGGUGUGUGUUGUGUCCGGGUGUUCGUUCUAACCAGCCUUCUCUUCAAGGACUCGUUCCUGCUGAAAAGUCCUCACCACUUUGUUAAACGUCUUGGACGUUAACAUGUUGACGUCUAAAUACAAGCUAGCUUGUAGCAGGCAAUCAAUAGAUGGAUGGAUGCCACUUAUGAGGGAGUGACUGAGAGUGUGUGUGUGUGUGUGUAUUGUGGCCUGCAGGGGGCGCCGACACAGACAGACACCAGGCAUACAUUUCAGCCCACGUGUAUUUUGUGGGGAAACGCGUCUUCCUCGCUACCCACAGCAGCUCAGUUUCUUUCUCUCUCUCGUCCUCCACUCCUCCUCUUGGAAGCUUCAUCAGACUGUACCUGGGUAUUCCACGUGGCCUCAUAGCAAGGUCACUCACACGUAUGCUGGAGGCCCAUCAGAGCAGGGCUCUGCCCUCUCCGACGCUCCUCCUGGUGCAACCCUUGGAUCUCAAUAGGGCUACUUGUGGGAAUCCAUGGUGCCAUGGGUGUGACCCUGGGGGAGAUAACGCCCUGAGCCCACUCUCUCCCCCCGGUCCUUCCUUCCAUCCAUCUGAUGUCCCGACCAGGCAGGGCUCCUGGCUGUGUGCAAUAAUACAGUGGAACGUUGGCUCACAACCGUAAUCCGUUCCAAAACUCUGCUCGCAACCCGAUUUGGUCGUGGCCCGAAGUAAUUUUCCCCCAUGGGAUUGUAUGUAAAUACAAUUAAUCCGUU